CCUACGGGUGGCAGCAGUGAGGAAUAUUGGUCAAUGGACGAGAGUCUGAACCAGCCAAGUCGCGUGAAGGAUGACUGCCCUAUGUGUUGUAAACUUCUUUUAUAUGGGAAUAAAAUGGUCCACGUGUGGGAUUUUGUAUGUACCAUAUGAAUAAGGAUCGGCUAACUCCGUGCCAGCAGCCGCGGUAAUACGGAGGAUCCGAGCGUUAUCCGGAUUUAUUGGGUUUAAAGGGAGCGCAGGUGGAUUGUUAAGUCAGGUGUGAAAGUCUGGGGCUCAACCGGAAAAGUGCAGUUGAAACUGGCAGGCUUGAGUACAGUAGAGGUGGGCGGAAUGCGUGGUGUAGCGGUGAAAUGCUUAGAUAUCACGAAGAACCCCGAUUGCGAAGGCAGCUCACUGGACUGCAACUGACGCUGAGGCUCGAAAGUGUGGGUAUCAAACAGGAUUAGAUACCCGAGUAGUC
RNAcentral lists this ribosomal RNA (460 nucleotides) under uncultured bacterium. Its description in RNAcentral is "partial 16S ribosomal RNA". It matches the Rfam family "Bacterial small subunit ribosomal RNA", at positions 338 to 795 of the family's 1533-position model. The record is from RNAcentral.